This 333-nucleotide long non-coding RNA is filed under the name Oryza sativa Indica Group (long-grained rice). RNAcentral's name for it is "lncRNA OsLiXu_Ung0020830". Lineage: Eukaryota; Viridiplantae; Streptophyta; Magnoliopsida; Poales; Poaceae. The record is from RNAcentral.
AUGCCAACAGUAUGUACAUUUGCAAAAAGUAGAACCAACAAUUUGGACGACUACUCUAUCUUCCAGUUCCAAGAAAUAGGGCAAUUUAUAGCCCCCUAUCACCAAGGCCAUUUCUUUUGGAGGAGGACGACGAGCGGACGACAAAGCCUUGCCUCGCUGCUCGCCGCUACCGCGCCCGACUGCCGCCACCCCGUUGGUGAAGAGGCGGCGCUGGCGGUUGCGGACGGUGACGGCGCGGCCCUCGGCGAGGACGUGGGGGAGGUAGGCGUUCUCGACAAGUGCGUGGUGGCGGUGGUGGAAGGUGGCGCCGCGGAAGUCGUCGGCGACAACCUC